GACGAACGCUGGCGGCGUGCUUAACACAUGCAAGUCGUACGGUAAGGCCCUUUCUGGGGUACGCGAGUGGCGCAAGGGUGUGUAACACGCGAGUAACCUGUCCACAACUUUGGGAGAACGCUAGGAAACUGGUGCUAAUAUUCGAUAUGUGCUCCUGCUGCAUGGUGGGGGGUGGAAAGCUCUGGGGGUUGUGGAUGGACUCUCGGGCUCUCUGCUCGUUGGGGGGGUAGUGGCCUACCAAGGGGGUGGCGGGUAGCCGGCCCGGGAGGGUGACCGGCCACAAGUGGACCUGGAUACGGCCCAGGCUCCCACGGGGAGGCACAAGUGGGGAUAUUUGACAAAGGGCGGAAACCUGAUGCAGGCACGCCGCGGGCGGGAUGACGGCCUUCGGGUUGUAAACCGUCUUCAGCAAGGACGGAGCUUAUUGUGACGGUACCUGCAGAAGAAGCACCGGCUAACUACGUG
This 465-nucleotide ribosomal RNA is filed under the name uncultured bacterium. Its description in RNAcentral is "partial 16S ribosomal RNA". It matches the Rfam family "Bacterial small subunit ribosomal RNA", at positions 28 to 507 of the family's 1533-position model. The record is from RNAcentral.